This 503-nucleotide ribosomal RNA is filed under the name uncultured bacterium. Its description in RNAcentral is "partial 16S ribosomal RNA". It matches the Rfam family "Bacterial small subunit ribosomal RNA", at positions 30 to 523 of the family's 1533-position model. The record is from RNAcentral.
AUUGAACGCUGGCGGCAGGCUUAACACAUGCAAGUCGAGCGGGGUGAUGGUGCUUGCACUAUCACUUAGCGGCGGACGGGUGAGUAAUGCUUAGGAAUCUGCCUAUUAGUGGGGGACAACAUCUCGAAAGGGAUGCUAAUACCGCAUACGUCCUACGGGAGAAAGCAGGGGAUCACUUGUGACCUUGCGCUAAUAGAUGAGCCUAAGUCGGAAUAGCUAGUUGGUGGGGUAAAGGCCUACCAAGGCGACGAUCUGUAACGGGUCUGAGAGGAUGAUCCGCCACACUGGGACUGAGACACGGCCCAGACUCCUACGGGAGGCAGCAGUGGGGAAUAUUGGACAAUGGGGGGAACCCUGAUCCAGCCAUGCCGCGUGUGUGAAGAAGGCCUUAUGGUUGUAAGGCACUUUAGGCGAGGAGGAGGCUCUUUUGGUUAAUACCCAAGAUGAGUGGACGUUACUCGCAGAAUAAGCACCGGCUAACUCUGUGCCAGCCGCCGCGGUAA